Molecule: long non-coding RNA, 497 nt
Organism: Mercenaria mercenaria
Lineage: Eukaryota; Metazoa; Mollusca; Bivalvia; Venerida; Veneridae
Exons: 3
Source: RefSeq, a predicted model, not a curated record
CUAAAUCAUGAUAAUGUAGGAAAUUAUUUCAAGAUUUGGAAGAGUUAUAAUAAGUCAUAAUAGGUGAGGAAUGGGAUAUUUGGCUUGAGAGUAACUUCCAGACGGUAAAGAAGCUCUGAGAGCUAUACUAUAAGGAAUCAAGUGAAACUAUAAAGUUGCAAGACAAGUCAAAAAUGGGUGAUGGAAAAGAUUGUCGAAAGUAUACAUACAAAUGGAUGUCACUGGCAGUUGACUUCGGCGGCCAGGUUUAUCGGACAGUUUUUACCAAUCAAGCUCUGAAUGUAUAUGGCUCAAUCAAGGCUUUUUUGACGACAAAAAAAUGUUCCAUCGUACCAAAGUGUUUCCCCAACCAAGUAGAGACAUUGUAUCCAAACGGCACAGCAGCAUCUUCGGCGGACAAAUUUGAUAUAACGCUUCUAGCAAUUCUAAUGAAAGUAUUAGGUCAACCAAAAGAUGAAUCAGUUUCAAAUGACCUACAGAAGAUAAAACAAUACAGA